Long non-coding RNA from Neofelis nebulosa (Clouded leopard), 2380 nucleotides. RefSeq lists it as uncharacterized. The record is from RefSeq and is a predicted model, not a curated record. The transcript has 3 exons. NCBI's taxonomy places the organism in Eukaryota, Metazoa, Chordata, Mammalia, Carnivora, Felidae.
UUACGGGGUGAGGGGCAAGCGUUCGGGGCGCAGGAAGGCAACCUUCCUCCAUAGGAUUCUUGGCCUGCUUUCCCGGCUAGUUUUGCUAGCCUGGUCUCGGUGAACACACCGUGCCAAGGAAAACAAAAACCAAGGACCCAGGAGAAAAGCCGCUGUGUACAGAGCACAAGCCUCUAAAUAGCUCUCCAACUCCUGUCUAAACCUCAGAAAUGUGACUUUGGGGUAGGACGAGGGCUGUUGCGUGCGGAACAGAAUCGGGACAAAUCCGGAACAGGGCAGGGAUCCUGUAAUUGCACUGAAUUGUAGGUCUAUUGAAAACGUGGCCUUCACGGGAGACUCUCAAAGCCCCCUGUGGUGGCAAGGCUGAAUUUUCCGGAGGGGGUCGCCCGAGUCCCCCCCCCAGGGUGCAGGGGCCGAGCGGCCAGAACAGAAGGCCUUGUCCUGAGGAGGGCUGGAUGGCUGGGUUACAGACAGGCCCGCGUGUGUCAGCCCCGUCCUUGGCCAAGGCCGGAAGAUCCUGAUUAACAUGAAAACGAAAGACAAUUGGGCGUCCUCGGCGGGCGGCCGGCUUCUGUGCGGCUGAGGGGGGAAGGUAAUCAUUCUAUCACUGUCUUUCGUGGCCAAUUAGAUGAUUCAGCAUAUUCCCGGCCUCUCUCUCCGCUGAGGUGAUUUAUAGUGAGCCAGCGCCAGAUGGGGUUGUGUGCAAGACAUGAAAACAUUGGCGGGGCCUCUCACAGCCACCCCGGCUGCUGACAGCUUCUAUUGGAGAAAUUCUCCUCUCAGGCGAAAAUAGCUACUUGCGGGGAUCUCCUCACGGGUGGAAUGAGGGUGGGGGGGCAGGAGGGUAGAGGUUAGCCCACUCGGCUGUUGUGGGAGAAGAGCUUCGGGAAAACAGCCCAGAAGGCGGUGGCUCGGAAGGAGGCAAGAGGGGCAGGGCUGCUUUGCCUCUGAUGUCUGAGCUCCCGUGUCUGGGGCCUGCGGCGGCAAGUGGGCCUGAUGUCUGGGGCGCAGGGGUGAGCGGCCAUGAUGGGAACGUGUGCGUGCACUUGGGAUGGGCCCGAGACGGGUCUCGGCAUCUGCAUUCUCGUAGGUGUUUUGACGGGCUGCUCUGGGUAAUUGCUUUGAUGGGUGGCUCUGUCCAUCCUGGGCAGUGGGUAGAUCGCAUAGCUACUGAGCCGGGAGGGUGAAGGAAGCUGUGCUGUGUCCUCAGGGGUAAGGAAGCCCCGACACAAUCUUCCUGAAGGAGUCAACGGUGGACCACGACGGCUCUGUGUUGUUCGGAAGCUAGGAGUUGUUUCCAUCCAUCUGUCUUUCCAAGAAAGAGAGCCUCCAGCUUCUGUAAUGAACUCUGGAUGUCACCCAUAGAACACUGACCAUUCCCGGCCACUCCCUAAGUCACUUAUUGGAAGGCUGAGAGGCCUGGCCUGACAUCGAGUACCACCCUCGUCACCGCCGUCAUCAGUGCUGAUCAACGUCAUUUUCCCUCACGCUUGUGAAAUACCUAUCAUAUGCCAGCAAUUAUUCCAGAUGCCUUACAUGCCUCAUUUAUUUCCCAAGACGAUCCUUUGGCUAUUAGCAUUCUGUGAUGGUUAAUUGAAUGUGGCAACCUGACUGGGCCGUGGGGUGCCCAGACAUUAUUCUGUGUGUGUCUGGGAGGAUGUUUCUGGAUGAGACUAACAAUUGAAUUGGUAGACUGAGUAAGCAAACUGCCCUCCCCGGUGUGGGUGGGCCUCAUCCAAUCAGUUGAAGAUAUGAAUAAAACCAAAAGUCUGAGUUCGAAGAAACUUUGGCCUGCCUGCUUGUUGAACUGGGACAUUGGUUUCCUGUCCUCAGAGUGAAACUUACAGCAUCAGCUCUCCUCGCUCUCGGGCCUUCAGACUUAGACUAGGACUGCACCACGGGCUCUCCUGGCUUCCCAGCUUGCUGACUGCAGAUCUUGGAACUUCUCAGCCUCCAUAAUCAUGCCCCAUCGUGGAAGGAUUACUGAGAAUUCUCCAGGGCUGCCUGGCCGCAUGCUGGGCUCUCAAACCUCAGUGACCUGAGACCGCUGGUGAUGUCGUGGAAGCUGGAGGGUCCGACCUACACUCAAGGGGAGGGGAUUACACAGGAGCAUGGAUUCUGAUGAGGGAUUCUGCCUCAAGACCGUAACAUAGAAAUCCUAUCUGAGCGUCCACCCUGCUGGCCCGUCCUAAAGAUUUCAAUGUCAAGACUACAACGUGAACUCCUGUCUGAGUUUCCAGUUUGUUGGCCUGCCCUGUGAAUUUCAAACUGCGGGCUGUGACAUCAACUCUUGCCUGAGUUUCUGGCCCUACAAGUUUCAGACUUGCCAGCCUCCAGAAUUGUAUGUGUCAAUUCCUUAAAAUAAAUGUCUUCAUGUGUG